This 502-nucleotide ribosomal RNA is filed under the name uncultured bacterium. RNAcentral describes it as "bacterial SSU rRNA". It matches the Rfam family "Bacterial small subunit ribosomal RNA", at positions 27 to 518 of the family's 1533-position model. The record is from RNAcentral.
GAACGAACGCUGGCGGCGCGUCUUAAGCAUGCAAGUCGAACGGCAAGAGGUAGCAAUACCUCCUAGAGUGGCGGACUGGUGAGUAACACGUGGGUGACAUACCCUUCAGAUGGGGAUAGCUAUUAGAAAUAGUAGAUAAUACCGAAUACGAGCACAGGGGUUAGAGAUCUGUGAGGAAAGGAGCUAAGGCUCCGCUGAAGGAAUGGCCUGCGGCCCAUUAGCUAGUUGGUGAGGUAAGAGCCCACCAAGGCGAUGAUGGGUAUCCGGCCUUAGAGGGUGAACGGACACAUUGGGACUGAGAUACGGCCCAGACUCCUACGGGAGGCAGCAGCUAAGAAUAUUCCGCAAUGGACGAAAGUCUGACGGAGCGACGCCGCGUGGAUGAAGAAGGCCGGAAGGUUGUAAAAUCCUUUUGAAACUGAAGAAUAAGCGUUGUAGGGAAUGACAGCGUGGUGACAGUAGGUUUUGAAUAAGCAACGGCUAAUUACGUGCCAGCAGCCGC